This 424-nucleotide ribosomal RNA is filed under the name uncultured bacterium. RNAcentral's name for it is "partial 16S ribosomal RNA". It matches the Rfam family "Bacterial small subunit ribosomal RNA", at positions 360 to 776 of the family's 1533-position model. The record is from RNAcentral.
AAUUUUGGACAAUGGGGGAAACCCUGAUCCAGCCAUCCCGCGUGUAUGAUGAAGGCCUUCGGGUUGUAAAGUACUUUUGGCAUAGAAGAAAAGGUAUCCUCUAUUACGGGAUACUGCUGACGGUAUCUGCAGAAUAAUCACCGGCAAACUACGUCCCACCAUCCGCGGUAAUACGUAGGGUGCAAGUGUUAAUCGGAAUUACUGGGCGUAAAGCGUAUGUAGGCGGUUCGGAAAGAAAGAUGUGAAAUCCCAGGGCUCAACCUUGGAACUGCAUUUUUAACUGCCGAGCUAGAGUAUGUCAGAGGGAGGUAGAAUUCCAAGUGUAGCAGUGAAAUGCGUAGAUAUGUGGAGGAAUACCGAUGGCGAAGGCAGCCCCCUGGGAUAAUACUGACGCUCAGACACGAAAGCGUGAGGAGCAAACAGG